Molecule: ribosomal RNA, 481 nt
Filed under: uncultured bacterium
Lineage: Bacteria
Description: partial 16S ribosomal RNA
Rfam family: Bacterial small subunit ribosomal RNA
Source: RNAcentral
AUUGAACGCUGGCGGCAGGCCUAACACAUGCAAGUCGAGCGGAUGAAGGGAGCUUGCUCCUGGAUUCAGCGGCGGACGGGUGAGUAAUGCCUAGGAAUCUGCCUGGUAGUGGGGGAUAACGUCCGGAAACGGGCGCUAAUACCGCAUACGUCCUGAGGGAGAAAGUGGGGGAUCUUCGGACCUCACGCUAUCAGAUGAGCCUAGGUCGGAUUAGCUAGUUGGUGGGGUAAAGGCCUACCAAGGCGACGAUCCGUAACUGGUCUGAGAGGAUGAUCAGUCAGAAGGGAACUGAGACACGGUCCAGACGCAUAAGGGAGGCAGCAGUGGGGAAUAUGGGAAAAUGGGCGAAAGCCUGAUAAAGACAUGCCGCGGGUGUGAAGAAGGGCAUCGGAGUGUAAAGCACUUUAAGUUGGGAGGAAGGGAAGUAAGUUAAUAACUUGCUGUUUUGACGGUACCAACAGAAUAAGCACCGGCUAACUUC